RNAcentral lists this ribosomal RNA (402 nucleotides) under uncultured Sphingomonas sp. RNAcentral describes it as "bacterial SSU rRNA". It matches the Rfam family "Bacterial small subunit ribosomal RNA", at positions 353 to 772 of the family's 1533-position model. The record is from RNAcentral. Lineage: Bacteria; Pseudomonadati; Pseudomonadota; Alphaproteobacteria; Sphingomonadales; Sphingomonadaceae.
AGUGGGGAAUAUUGGACAAUGGGCGAAAGCCUGAUCCAGCAAUGCCGCGUGAGUGAUGAAGGCCCUAGGGUUGUAAAGCUCUUUUACCCGGGAAGAUAAUGACUGUACCGGGAGAAUAAGCCCCGGCUAACUCCGUGCCAGCAGCCGCGGUAAUACGGAGGGGGCUAGCGUUGUUCGGAAUUACUGGGCGUAAAGCGCACGUAGGCGGCUUUGCAAGUUAGAGGUGAAAGCCCGGGGCUCAACCCCGGAAUAGCCUUUAAAACUGCAUGGCUUGAACGUCGGAGAGGUGAGUGGAAUUCCGAGUGUAGAGGUGAAAUUCGUAGAUAUUCGGAAGAACACCAGUGGCGAAGGCGGCUCACUGGACGACUGUUGACGCUGAGGUGCGAAAGCGUGGGGAGCAAA